AGUGAACGCCGGCGGCGUGCUUAACACAUGCAAGUCGAACGAGAACGGAAUAUAGCUUGCUAUAUUUGUCAGCUAAGUGGCGCACGGGUGAGUAAUGUAUAGAUAACCUGCCCUUAAGAAAGGAAUAACAGUUGGAAACGACUGCUAAUGCCCUAUAUGCCUUUAAUACAUAAGUAUGCAAGGGAAGCGCAUUAGUGCUUAAGGAUGGGUCUGUAUGGUAUCAGCUUGUUGGUGAGGUAAUGGCUCACCAAGGCUAUGACGCCUAACUGGUUUGAGAGGAUGAUCAGUCACACUGGAACUGAGACACGGUCCAGACUCCUACGGGAGGCAGCAGUGGGGAAUAUUGCACAAUGGACGAAAGUCUGAUGCAGCAACGCCGCGUGGAGGAUGACACAUUUCGGUGCGUAAACUCCUUUUAUAUAGGAAGAUAAUGACGGUACUAUAUGAAUAAGCACCGGCUAACUCCGUGCCAGCCGCCGCCGUAA
This 485-nucleotide ribosomal RNA is filed under the name uncultured bacterium. RNAcentral's name for it is "partial 16S ribosomal RNA". It matches the Rfam family "Bacterial small subunit ribosomal RNA", at positions 29 to 523 of the family's 1533-position model. The record is from RNAcentral.